This is a non-coding RNA of Pelobates cultripes (western spadefoot toad), 1127 nucleotides long. The record is from the annotation of a GenBank genome assembly. Lineage: Eukaryota; Metazoa; Chordata; Amphibia; Anura; Pelobatidae.
UGUAUUAAAAUUUUAUAAAGGACAUAAACAAAACUGAGAGACGUACAUGUUACACUAGUUAAGAGUUUAACUUUAGUCUCUAAUUUGAGUUUAGCCUAGAUAAUUAAUUUAUUGAUGUCGUACUGAUCCUUGUGUUUGUAUGAUUAUAGAGACCGUACUGGAGUAUUUGUGCUGCCUGAUAUUUGGGACUACACACCAAUCUCUCUGGCUGACCUACCUGCCUACUUACCUUUUUUGCAAUUAAAUCUGUUUGGUCAAAAUCCAUGCUGGCCGAAGAAACUGAGAUGCUUACUUAUGAGGACAUAAACUAACUUGGAAAGUCCUGAAGAUGCAGUGCUGUCUAAUGCCGCUAUUUCUGUAUUACCCUUUCAACAAUUGGGGUGUUGCACAGAGUAUUGUGGUGAACAUCCAGCAAACAGAAGAAUUAAGAACUAUGUGGAAGCUGACAUUGUCUUGUUGUCAGCCAUAUUGCUACCCUUAGCUAUGUUAUGGUGUCUAAGAUUGUGGAACAAAGUUUAUGGUGUCUAAGAUUCUUUAUACUCCUUGAAAGACUUAUAAUAUUUUUCUGGACUAUGCUGGACUAUUGAACUAUUUUGUUAUUUUUAUUUUUAUUUUUGUAGAGUUAGCCGGAGAGAGAGGAAGUGUUAGCUUACUCAGGCAUGGAUGUACUAUGUGUGUCAUUGAUGUAUGUUGAGUGUACCAAGGAUGGAUUCCAAUGUAUUAAGUGUGGAUAUGACUGGACUAUCGAAAUAGGGAUUUGAUUAGGAGGCAUAGGACGCAAGGUCAUGAUUGGGAUUAUUGCUAGAAUUGCAAACUGAUUAGAAAUGAUCUUAUGAUUUAAUAUGUUAGUGGGCCUUUUCAAACUAAUCAAGAAGUGUUUCCCAAUCCCGAUACCUGAGCUAUUUACUUACAUAGUGCAGGUUUUAUAAGUCACUAAUGCUGUCAAUGUGAGGGGAUGACAUGUCUACACAGUCAUGGCCCUCACUUAGAAUUUACCCAGAUGUGCUUUUUUUCUCAAUUAUGAGUUUUUGCCACUGGGAUUUUUGACCUGGCCCAAGUUCACUGGGUGGACUGGUAAUCCAAGACCCUGGUCCAAAGAGGGGAAAUAGAUUUUAUUCCCAUUUUUG